AGAGAUCAUGGCUCAGGAUGAACGCUAGCGGCAGGCCUAAUACAUGCAAGUCGAACGGGGUUGAGUAGCAAUACUCAAUUCAGUGGCGCACGGGUGCGUAACGCGUAUGCAACCUACCUUAAACUGGGGGAUAGCCUUCCGAAAGGGAGAUUAAUACCGCAUAAGAUCACACGAGGGCAUCUGAGAGUGAUUAAAGAUUUAUUGGUUUAAGAUGGGCAUGCGUGCCAUUAGCUAGUUGGUAGGGUAACGGCCUACCAAGGCUACGAUGGCUAGGGGUUCUGAGAGGAUGAUCCCCCACACUGGUACUGAGAUACGGACCAGACUCCUACGGGAGGCAGCAGUAGGGAAUAUUGGGCAAUGGACGCAAGUCUGACCCAGCCAUGCCGCGUGCAGGAUGAAGGCCUUCUGGGUUGUAAACUGCUUUUAUCUAGGAAGAAAACGCCCAUGCGUGGGAAACUGACGGUACUAGAUGAAUAAGCACCGGCUAACUCCGUGCCAGCAGCCGCGGUAAUACGGAGGGUGCAAGCGUUGUCCGGAUUUAUUGGGUUUAAAGGGUGCGUAGGCGGCCCGGUAAGUCAGUGGUGAAAGCCUCCAGCUCAACUGGAGAACUGCCAUUGAUACUGCCGGGCUUGGGUACAGACGAGGUUGGCGGAAUUGAUUGUGUAGCGGUGAAAUGCAUAGAUACAAUCAAGAACUCCGAUUGCGUAGGCAGCUAACUAGGCUGUAACUGACGCUGAGGCACGAAAGCGUGGGGAGCGAACAGGAUUAGAUACCCUGGUAGUCCACGCUGUAAACGAUGAUUACUCGAUGUUGGCGAUAAACUGUCAGCGUCUUAGCGAAAGCGUUAAGUAAUCCACCUGGGGAGUACGCCCGCAAGGGUGAAACUCAAAGGAAUUGACGGGGGCCCGCACAAGCGGUG
Molecule: ribosomal RNA, 919 nt
Filed under: uncultured Hymenobacter group bacterium
Lineage: Bacteria; Pseudomonadati; Bacteroidota; Cytophagia; Cytophagales; Cytophagaceae
Description: bacterial SSU rRNA
Rfam family: Bacterial small subunit ribosomal RNA
Source: RNAcentral